Molecule: ribosomal RNA, 253 nt
Filed under: uncultured bacterium
Lineage: Bacteria
Description: partial 16S ribosomal RNA
Rfam family: Bacterial small subunit ribosomal RNA
Source: RNAcentral
UACGUAGGGUGCAAGCGUUGUCCGGAAUUAUUGGGCGUAAAGAGCUCGUAGGCGGUCUGUCGCGUCGAAUGUGAAAAUCCGGGGCUCAACUCCGGACCUGCAUUCGAUACGGGCAGACUAGAGUUCGGUAGGGGAGACUGGAAUUCCUGGUGUAGCGGUGAAAUGCGCAGAUAUCAGGAGGAACACCGGUGGCGAAGGCGGGUCUCUGGGCCGUAACUGACGCUGAGACACGAAAGCGUGGGUAGCAAACAGG